Mytilus californianus (California mussel) is the source of this 397-nucleotide long non-coding RNA. RefSeq lists it as uncharacterized. NCBI's taxonomy places the organism in Eukaryota, Metazoa, Mollusca, Bivalvia, Mytilida, Mytilidae. The transcript has 4 exons. The record is from RefSeq and is a predicted model, not a curated record.
CGAACUUGUGACAGUCCACUACCUUCCAGGGGCGGAAAAAAUUGUAAUGGGUCGAGUGUGGAUUCAUCAGAUUGCAGCUUAAGUGAUUGUCCAGUUGAUGGUCAGUGGGGUUCCUGGUCGACUGGACCAUGUUCUGUCACAUGCGGUAAUGGUAUUCGAUAUAGAAAGAGAAGUUGUGACAGCCCAUCAAAAUCUAACAAUGGACAAGAUUGUAUUGGUUCCAACAUAUUCACCGUAAUCUGUACCUUAGGAGCAUGUUCAGAAUCAUGUAAAGAAUCAGAAAAGAAACUAGAAUCAAAGAAAAUAUAAGCAAGAAAAUGGAAAAGAUAUCAGAAUAGAAAACUGAAUAGAAGAACAGAUACAAACAACAACUAACGUGUACUACAUGUUUGUCUUG